Molecule: long non-coding RNA, 3012 nt
Organism: Mustela lutreola (European mink)
Lineage: Eukaryota; Metazoa; Chordata; Mammalia; Carnivora; Mustelidae
Exons: 7
Source: RefSeq, a predicted model, not a curated record
CUAACUGGUAUUUCGUUUGGCAGGCGUUGAGCCACUGCCACAGCCCGGAUUUUCCUGCAGGCAGAGCCCGGCCUUGUUUUGACAGUCAUUUCUGCUGCUUUCUGCUUCUGCCUGGAAGGAUCACACAGUUGCAGAGGUCUGGGGAGGGAUGCACUUGCGGAGAUUCAAAUUGUCAAAGGAAGCUUCCAUCAGAACAAUUAGGAGACCUCAGGCUGUUGUCUUCUGGAAACUUCCUUCGACCAGCAACAGUUUCCCACCCACCAUGCCACUCCCAACAUCCAAAUGGUUUCCAAAGCUGCAGUCAGGCUAGUACAAAUGGGGCUUCUGUCACUUGAAACCGAAAGAGUCCUAGGAAUGUCACCUGACUCCCUUUCACUCACUGUGAGCUGUGGAAUCCCUGUGACUGCACUCCGUCAGCUUCUUGUUUACAGAAUCAAGAAAAGUUCUUGAAAGCUACCAUUUUGAAGAGAGAUGUGAAGGGAAGAGACUUUCACUUUCCACUUGUCUAUAUUGUCUGAAUCUCAUAACCUGGUUGAGAAGGAUGCCCUAGACUCCGCUGCCUCCCCUUGGUGACCCCAGCCCACAUGAUUACAUAUCUUCUACUUCUAAGAAGGAGCCAGGACCCGCUGUGCCCCAUGUAACAUGUAACAGCCAGGCCAGACCAUCUGGAGAGUUCCAGACCCAUCCAGAAGGAAUUUUUACUGGUGAGCCCAUUGGUUGUCAGAUGGGUCCUCGUUCCAGACUCCAUGCAGUUCACCCAGGGAGUACCUGAGAACAUCCGAGCGCACCCCAUGGGACGAGAGCUACACACAGUCUCUUCAUGAAAUAAAGCAAACAAGUAGCUCCACAACUUUUUGAAGCUCUAACAAGAUCUCUCUGGUGAAACACAAAAUACUUCAGAAGACUGAGUAGAAGACAAAAACAUUCAUUCAUUCAUUUUUGGAGUUCAGGAGCAAUGGAUUGAGUUAAUUAUACUCCUCAGCUCAUGGAGCAUUGUCACCACUGGCCUGGUUUCCAGCAUGACACCUCCCAGCGUCAUCCCAAAGCAUCUGAUUCACACCUCCCAGCAGCAGCCAUGCCUCGGUACCAAGCACUCCUCUAACUCUGCUCUCAUACAACUGCAGAUACUGGGAGUCUUCUGCUCUGCUCUGCCAGUCGUCCCUGCCGUUUCAGCAGCUGAGUCUGUCCUCAAGCCCUGUCCUUCACUGGACUUGGACAAUUUCAGCUGGGUUGCCCUGCUACUGACCAGCAGCAGCCUUCACACUGCCGUACCUUGUUUUCUUCCUCCAGCCCUCCUUCCUCUAGCGUCUCCUAAAUGUGAACGGUUUCCAUUUUCUGUUCUAUGCUAAGCCCACCUCUUUUCUUUGUGAAGAGUUUCCACCCAAAAUUUCACCAGAUCCCGUUAUUUCAAAUAUCAUUUCCUUGCCAGUGCCUCCUAAACCGGCAUUCUGCCCUGACCUCACUCCCAAGCCCCAGCUCUGCUUUUUUUCUUUUCUUUUCUUUUUGCCUCCUGGAGUGAUUUUCUAGGGACACAGAUCAGUAUCUCCAAAAGGAAGCUCACAUCUUACAGCCCAUUCAUUCUCCACUCUCGUCAUCUUCAUUUCUAGUAAGUUUCCUGCAUUGUCUCUGCUCUUAUCCAUUCAUUCACCAAACAUCUGCUGAGCACACACAUUCUAUGAGCCCAGGGAGAGGCUCUACUUUGUCCCCCUCCUGUUCCUCACAGCCUGUCUGCCACCAAGUCCUGCUGCAUCCAGCCCCUCCUUUCAGAAUAUACCUCCUAAUCUUGGAUCAUUCAAGGAAUGUUGUCCACAUGUGCAAACAAAAUAAUUUCAGCUCUCCCUUUUGAAACAGAAAAUUUGAAGUUAGAAAUAUGAGUCUCUGCUGAAGAAGGAAAUUACCUUUAAAUUAAAAGGAAAUCAUGAGAUAAGUCACUUAAACAGAAAAGUACCUUAUUUAUUUGGAUGCUGUGCCCUAAAGUUUCUUUAUCUUACUUUCAAGGAAGCUAGAUAUACAACCCAGUGAAUUACAGAGCUUUGUUUAGCCAAGUAAGCAGUUUGAAACAGAGGACUUUAAAUCAGAUUAAAUGCUUUAUUCACCGUCAUGAGUGACAGAUUUUCCUCUUUGUAGCUUUCCCCCAUUCAGUGCCAAGUGAUAAAGACUGUCUUCCUAGCAAGUUGUUCUUUAUGAGUGCGUGUUUACCUGCCUGAAUCAAUAAUCAUAUUGCUACAGAUAUAAAGAUUCAUGAGACAUGCUUUAGAUAACCAUGAAAAGUCAUAAAAGAUAAUUUACUAAUUUUAUAGCUAUCUUCUCUUCACCUCUAUCUGAACUUAAAAUAAACCUACUGCACAUUUUUUGCUUUUUCUUGCCAGGGCUAAUACCUUUAUCCUUUUAUUCACUAAAAUCUUCAAUAUGAUUUCCAGCAUUUGAAACUGCCCCCUUUACUCUCUUCACUGUGCUCGAGUGCUACUAAAAGUCUUCUGCUUGUUGUUGUGGGCUGAAUGGUGUUCCCUAAAAAUCUUCGUUGAAUCCCUAACUCCCAGGACCUGUGAAUGUGAACUUACUUGGAAGAAGGGUCUUUGCAGUUGUCAUCAAGCUAAAAUGAGGUCAUGCUGGAUUAGGGUGGGCCUAAUUCAGAGACUGGUGUCUUUAUGAGAGAAAAGAGAAGAGAGUGAUUUGGACACAGAGACACCGGGGAGAAUGCCAGACGAUGGGAGAGGCAGAAGCUAGACCGAGGCAUCUGCAAACAGAAAAAGCUCCAAGGGUGGCUGGCAGCCACCAGAAGCUGGGAGAAGCAAGGAAGGAUCCUCCAUGAAAGCAUCAGAGGGAGUGUGGCACAGCUGACGUCUUGAUCAUGGACCUUAGGCCUCCAGCACUGUGAGACAAUCCAUGUCUGUUGUUUUAAGCCACCACCACUCUCCCCCCAUCCCCCGCCCCGUGUGUGGUCAUUUAUUAUAAGAGCUCUGGGAAACUAAUAUGGUUACUGAAUUAACUGAUAAACUAACCUAAAGUACA